CCGGUGCCAGCCGCCGCGGUAAUACCGGCGGCUCGAGUGGUGGCCACUAUUACUGGGCUUAAAGCGUCCGUAGCUGGAUUGUUAAGUCUCUUGGGAAAUCCACCGGCUCAACCGAUGGGCGUUCAGGAGAAACUGGCAAUCUAGGGACCGGGAGAGGUGAGAGGUACUCCAGGGGUAGGAGUGAAAUCCUGUAAUCCUUGGGGGACCACCUGUGGCGAAGGCGUCUCACUAGAACGGCUCCGACAGUGAGGGACGAAAGCUGGGGGAGCAAACCGGAUUAGAUACCCGGGUAGUCCCAGCUGUAAACGAUGCGCGUUAGGUGUAUCGGUGACCACGAGUCAUCGAGGUGCCGAAGGGAAACCGUGA
This 366-nucleotide ribosomal RNA is filed under the name uncultured archaeon. Its description in RNAcentral is "bacterial SSU rRNA". It matches the Rfam family "Archaeal small subunit ribosomal RNA", at positions 452 to 817 of the family's 1478-position model. The record is from RNAcentral.